This 460-nucleotide ribosomal RNA is filed under the name uncultured bacterium. RNAcentral describes it as "partial 16S ribosomal RNA". It matches the Rfam family "Bacterial small subunit ribosomal RNA", at positions 338 to 795 of the family's 1533-position model. The record is from RNAcentral.
CCUACGGGGUGCAGCAGUGAGGAAUAUUGGUCAAUGGACGAGCGUCUGAACAAGCCAAGUAGCGUGAAGGAUGACUGCCCUAUGGGUUGUAAACUUCUUUUAUAUGGGAAUAAAAUGUUCCACGUGUGGGAUUUUGUCUGUACCAUAUGAAUAAGGAUCGGCUAACUCCGUGCCAGCAGCCGCGGUAAUACGGAGGAUCCGAGCGUUAUCCGGAUUUAUUGGGUUUAAAGGGAGCGUAGGUGGAUUGUUAAGUCAGUUGUGAAAGUUUGCGGCUCAACCGUAAAAUUGCAGUUGAAACUGGCAGUCUUGAGUACAGUAGAGGUGGGCGGAAUUCGUGGUGUAGCGGUGAAAUGCUUAGAUAUCACGAAGAACUCCGAUUGCGAAGGCAGUUCACUGGACUGCAACUGACACUGAGGCUCGAAAGUGUGGGUAUCAAACAGGAUUAGAUACCCUAGUAGUC